GAUGAACGCUGGCGGCGUGCCUAAUACAUGCAAGUCGAGCGAACAGACGAGGAGCUUGCUCCUCUGACGUUAGCGGCGGACGGGUGAGUAACACGUGGUUAACCUACCUAUAAGACUGGGAUAACUUCGGGAAACCGGAGCUAAUACCGGAUAAUAUAUUGAACCGCAUGGUUCAAUAGUGAAAGACGGUUUUGCUGUCACUUAUAGAUGGCUCCGCGCCGCAUUAGCUAGUUGGUAAGGUAACGGCUUACCAAGGCAACGAUGCGUAGCCGACCUGAGAGGGUGAUCGGCCACACUGGAACUGAGACACGGUCCAGACUCCUACGGGAGGCAGCAGUAGGGAAUCUUCCGCAAUGGGCGAAAGCUUGACGGAGCAACGCCGCGUGAGUGAUGAAGGUUUUCGGAUCGUAAAACUCUGUUAUUAGGGAAGAACAAAUGUGUAAGUAACUAUGCACGUCUUGACGGUACCUAAUCAGAAAGCCACGGCUAACUACGUG
This 497-nucleotide ribosomal RNA is filed under the name uncultured bacterium. Its description in RNAcentral is "partial 16S ribosomal RNA". It matches the Rfam family "Bacterial small subunit ribosomal RNA", at positions 28 to 507 of the family's 1533-position model. The record is from RNAcentral.